RNAcentral lists this unclassified non-coding RNA (1584 nucleotides) under Hevea brasiliensis (rubber tree). Lineage: Eukaryota; Viridiplantae; Streptophyta; Magnoliopsida; Malpighiales; Euphorbiaceae. The record is from RNAcentral.
CGCGCGGCCCCCAACACCCCACCACACCCCACCCCCCUCUUCCAGCUUUCUUCUUUCCUUCAGAAGGGCUUAGCAUCAUCCUCAAAGAAAGAGUGUCCAACAGCUUUGAUGAACUUCAGUCUCUCGACAAGCCUAAUCUCAUCCUUAAUUGCAUGACAAGGGCACAUUAUUUCGAUACCUUUAGGGUGCGGCGGCAUCAGUUGAAGACUCGAGUUUCGAUGGGCAAUGAAAAUUGCCUGAAUUAUAUUUUUUAUUUUUAUAAUUAUAAAUCAAUGACACAAAAGACUUCCAUUUGAAACUUCAAUAUACAAGUGCAGCUGAUAGAACUAAAUUGUAAAGCUAAACCACCAAGAAACACGAAAAUCCUACACUCAAGAAACAGCAAUAAUAACCGGAGAAAGGGAGGAAAAGAAAAGAACAACAAAAAGAAGAUUUGCACCGGUAGAGCAUGAAUUUCCGCCCAUCCGUAAUCCCAUACACACCCAAGCGUGAGCUCCCAAUUCUAACAAUAAGGUGUGAUUAACAGCAUCAGAUCCUAGGCCCAUAAAUUGGAUUGGACCAGGACUAAUGUAUCGAUUCUUAAGUGCCCACUCAUCCCGCAUGGAUGUAAAUUUUUUGAACGGCGCACCUUCAAGCUCCACCAUUGCCUUCUUAAUCAGAGGCUUGAAUUUACCUGCCAAAAGAAAGGGGAAAAAAAGAGAACAAUAUUUCAGAUAGUUAAAAUGAUUAAACUAAAAAAAAUAACAGCCAAAAAAUUCAUAAUAAUAAUAAUGUUGAGAGAAUAUUGCUGGAUCACUUGAACAAAGUUUUGGCGACAGUGCGAGUCUCAGCUUACAUUCUCAUGUAUAAUAUAUACAACCUUACUACUGCAUUGUGAAUUAACAAUAUCUUAUUUUACGAGCAAAAGAAUAUUAAUUAAUAAGGUGCCAAAAGGGUCCCACUCAUGCACAUUAUCCAUGUCAAAUACAUAGCAUGUCUUGUGCUUAUCAAAGGAGCAAAUAGAACUAUUAUAUCAUCAGCACAAAAAGGGACACUCUGAUAUGUUACAAGUUUGUUUUAUAAAAAAUGUAACAAGGAUUCUGAAAGGAUGAAAGCAUACCGUGUCUCCUCUCCACGUCCAUCAAAGAAGUCAGUGCAGUGCCACCUACUGUCCAUUCUGUAACAGGAGCACACAAAUUCCCAACCUGAAGACGCAACGAAAUUGAAUAACAUCAAUUCAGUAAUAUAAUAUCAUAGUCUUUGCGUUUUUUUUCCCCUCUAAUAAAGCUCAAACAGUCCAGAACCACUCUAGAGAUGAAACAAAGAUAGAAGGUCAAACAAAGAUAGAAGAUGGAAAAUACAAAUAAAAUGCUAGGAGUAGACCCACUCACUGAUGAUAUCAACCCAGUUUUUCCACUGUGAAGGAGGGCUCCAGCUCCAUAUCCCAAAGCAUAGCAGUAUGUUGCAUCAAAUUUUGUUGGCAAACCACACCUUCCUUCAUAACUGGACAUUUCCAUGUGGAUCUCUCUCCAGCAUCAAUUGUUCCUGAAUUGCUUGUGGCAGAAAUUCAAAAAGCUGCAGAGAUUGACUUGUAAGUUUCUUUUU